AUGCAGGUCGACUUUAGACGUUGAGCUUGAGCAUUUGGAGUGAGUAGAGGUUUGAACAUGACCUACUGGUCGAGUUUGAUGGUCGAGCUUGAGUUGAACAUGCCUCUUUUGACCUAAUCACA
This 122-nucleotide small RNA is filed under the name Arabidopsis thaliana (thale cress). RNAcentral describes it as "ATSL201320". The record is from RNAcentral. Lineage: Eukaryota; Viridiplantae; Streptophyta; Magnoliopsida; Brassicales; Brassicaceae.